ACUCCUACGGGAGGCAGCAGUGGGUAAUUUUGGACAAUGGGGGAAACCCUGAUCCAGCCCUCCCGGGUGUGCGAUGAAGGCCUUCGGGUUGUAAAGCACUUUUGGCAGGAAAGAAACGUCAUGGGUUAACACCCCGGAAACUGACGUACCGCAGAUAG
RNAcentral lists this ribosomal RNA (158 nucleotides) under Achromobacter xylosoxidans. Its description in RNAcentral is "partial 16S ribosomal RNA". It matches the Rfam family "Bacterial small subunit ribosomal RNA", at positions 335 to 488 of the family's 1533-position model. Lineage: Bacteria; Pseudomonadati; Pseudomonadota; Betaproteobacteria; Burkholderiales; Alcaligenaceae. The record is from RNAcentral.